GUGAAGGAGCGGAGGACUGAGGAGGGGGCGUGCACGCAGGGAGGGACCUUAGAGUUGACAGCCUUUGAGGUGAGAGCGAGACUCGGAAAGUAGGUCCAUGUGUGCCCUGCGCGUGCUCCGACACCCACCGACACUCACAUGCCCGGUAAGCACAGAUUGCAAAGUUCCCCAGAGGGAAAGGAAUGGGAGCAGGCACACUCAGCCUUCAGGUAUGAUUUGUUAGUUGUUGUUCUGCUGCCUUUUUUCUCCCUCCAGUUUUCUUCUUGCAAAGAAUGCCUUUAAUUCUAAUUCUAGCAGACUGUAAUUUCUAAAAGUGGCCACAGCAGUAAAUCUGGUCCCAUAUGAUCUUCCAGGACCUUGCUGCUUCACAUUAAGAGGUAAAGUCUACUAUCUUUCCCCUGAACUGGGGUGGGUUUUUAAGGCUGCUUCAACAAAAAAGAAUAGGGUGGAAGUUAAUGUUGUAUAACUUCCAAGAUGGGUCAUAAAUGGUAAUAUGGUCUCUCUGUCUGUCUGUCUCUUGUAAUGCUACCCUUUGGAAACCAGUCACCAUGUUGUGAGGAAGCUCAGGCUACAUGCAGAGGCUAGUAGGUGUUCUGGCCCACAGCCUCAGUUGAUCUCCCAGCCAUAACUAUAAUCAAUCAGAAGACAGGUGAGUGAGUAAGCCUUGGAGCAAAGACCAGAAUGAACCCAUCUCCAAAGCGCCUUUCUGAAUCUGUGAUGCACAGACUCAGUGAGCAUAAUGAGUGUUAUAUCAUUGAGUUAUGGGAUAAUAACUUAGCCACAGUAACCAGAUCACUGAGGAUGGAGUGACCUCAAUUUAUCAGAAAAU
Molecule: long non-coding RNA, 829 nt
Filed under: Ictidomys tridecemlineatus (thirteen-lined ground squirrel)
Lineage: Eukaryota; Metazoa; Chordata; Mammalia; Rodentia; Sciuridae
Description: lncRNA (ENSSTOG00000031696.1)
Source: RNAcentral